CAGCACACGUAGACACGCACGAAUUUUGGCACACCUCUCUACGCUUCGCCUCUCGUGCCCAUCCACACGCCCACCUCGCCGGCCCUACCUUCUCUUUUCCGCCCACUAUCUCGCUCUCACAUAUGGCGUGCGCCGUCCCCUCCCCCGGGACGUCCCAGGUCGUUACGUGCCCGAGCACGCUGACAUCCCCGGUAAAGAUCGAUCAGGAGUGGUCGAUCACUACUUCAUCUGCCACGCACGCUACCCCCACCGCGCAGGCGCCGGUGGCGACGCUGUGCACUCUUGCAAAAGCAUCAGCGACCACGACACCGGUGACGGAUGGCACCCACGCUUUCCUUCAGCCUUCCCCUGUCUCUGCUAUGUCGGCUAUCCGCCGCUUCUUGCGCCGCAGCAGCAUCAUGGUCCCGUUCAUGGCAGAGCGUGCAGCCAAGGAGGUGGUUGUGCUUCCGCCGCCGAUACAUCGUCUCUACCGCCAGGCGGACGAGACUCGGCGCUCGCUGGUUCGUCGAGCAGACUUCCUCGCCAGCUGCGGCGAAAACGAACUGGCCGCGGAGAAUGCGGAUGCCUGUGUGAGCGCCGACCGUGAAGCGAGUGCCAAAGUCGACCGUCCACGCGGCGACGUGUUCGACUUCACCUGGACCAGGAAAGAGGUGAAUGCAAUGCGCAUGCAGCAGCGUGAGUACCUGCGCAGGCAGCGCGGCAGCCCUCACGCACCGGUUCUGGUAAGGAUGAAUGAGCUGGCGUCAAAUCUUCUGAACGAUGGCGAUUGGGAACAGAUGGAAAAGGCGAGUCCCACCGUUGCAGCUGUCGCCGCGCCGGCUGUGCAUGACAAUGUAGCGAACAUCGUGGCUGGCCUUUGCACGCGCGCCAUCCCCCAAGCUGAGUACAUCCGCAGCGUCUUCAAUUACCGCAUGAGCGUCCUGCAGAAGCGCAUCAACGCGGUUCCGACCGGAGUGGUAGUCCCCGCUGUCGUGCAGGCUACCAUGACGCUAGACGAGCUGUCGGAGAGCCACAGCGGCGAGAAUAUCCCGAAGUACAAGAAGGACAAGGCCACCUCCAAAAAAGCGUUGUCGCCCACUACGGCGCCAACUGUCACCUUCCCGCAUCCCGGGGUGCCUUUCACAUACCAAGAUCUUGCGCAAGACCCCCUACUGCUGACGGCUGAGCAGCGCGCCGACCGCCGCGCGGCGUUGCUUCACCGGCGCACGCUGUCUGAAGAGGUCUACGGCCAGCCUGUCCCGUACAUAUGAGUGCGCUCACAGGCACAGACACUCAUACGCAUGCUCCCUACAAAGGACAGAGCGAGUGCCCGUGCCUGUGUUCGUCCUUGCGCGUUUUUACAACUCCUGGUGUCUAUGUAUCGAGUGCAUCCCUUGAUUUGCUCUUUUUUUUUGUCACAAGAAGGAGGUGGAGAGAUGAAUCAGAAAGGAACGUGUCUUCCUGUAAACGCGCCCUUCCCCUAUCUUAUCUCGCUCUCCCUCCCUCCCUCUCUCUUUGUGUUCUCCCAGUCCUAUUCGAAUGUGAUCGUCUGACGCCUUGAUCGGUCCUCGCCUCUGAUCCUGUGUCAUCGCCACCUCUGAUUUCUGCCUUGCCUUCCACGUUCCCUCUCUGCGCUCGGAAUCUUCUGCUGUGUUUUACUUGCUUUUUCAUGUCGGCUUUUUAUUCUUGGUUUCUCUGUUUCCGUUCUCUGAUGUGUACCCCACCCCCAUCCACCCUCACCUACAUCUGCAUAUCUAUGUGUACUACCGUGAAG
This 1753-nucleotide unclassified non-coding RNA is filed under the name Leishmania donovani. Its description in RNAcentral is "gene:LdHU3.31.3070(CDS-product:hypothetical_prote in_conserved)". Lineage: Eukaryota; Euglenozoa; Kinetoplastea; Trypanosomatida; Trypanosomatidae. The record is from RNAcentral.